This is a ribosomal RNA of 404 nucleotides. It matches the Rfam family "Bacterial small subunit ribosomal RNA", at positions 355 to 774 of the family's 1533-position model.
UGGGGAAUAUUGCGCAAUGGGGGAAACCCUGACGCAGCAAUGCCGCGUGAAGGAUGAAGGUUUUCGGAUUGUAAACUUCUUUGAUCAGGGACGAAUAAAUGACGGUACCUGAAGAACAAGCCACGGCUAACUACGUGCCAGCAGCCGCGGUAAUACGUAGGUGGCAAGCGUUAUCCGGAUUUACUGGGUGUAAAGGGCGUGUAGGCGGGAUAGCAAGUCAGAUGUGAAAUACCGAGGCUCAACCUCGGGGCUGCAUUUGAAACUGUUAUUCUUGAGUGAUGGAGAGGAAAGCGGAAUUCCUAGUGUAGCGGUGAAAUGCGUAGAUAUUAGGAGGAACACCAGUGGCGAAGGCGGCUUUCUGGACAUUAACUGACGCUGAGGCGCGAAAGCGUGGGGAGCAAACA